UGCACACAGGUCUGGGGA
RNAcentral lists this microRNA (18 nucleotides) under Xenopus laevis (African clawed frog). RNAcentral describes it as "xla-miR-5186". The record is from RNAcentral. Lineage: Eukaryota; Metazoa; Chordata; Amphibia; Anura; Pipidae.